ACGAACGCUGGCGGCAGGCUUAACACAUGCAAGUCGAGCGCUACCUUCGGGUGGAGCGGCGGACGGGUUAGUAACGCGUGGGAAUAUACCCAGUUCUAAGGAAUAGCCACUGGAAACGGUGAGUAAUACCUUAUACGCCCUUCGGGGGAAAGAUUUAUUGCCUUUGGAUGAACCCGCGUAAGAUUAGCUAGUUGGUGAGGUAAUGGCUCACCAAGGCGACGAUCUUUAGCUGGUCUGAGAGGAUGAUCAGCCACAUUGGGACUGAGACACGGCCCAGACUCCUACGGGAGGCAGCAGUGGGGAAUAUUGG
This 310-nucleotide ribosomal RNA is filed under the name uncultured bacterium. RNAcentral describes it as "SSU rRNA". It matches the Rfam family "Bacterial small subunit ribosomal RNA", at positions 29 to 367 of the family's 1533-position model. The record is from RNAcentral.